RNAcentral lists this ribosomal RNA (506 nucleotides) under uncultured bacterium. RNAcentral describes it as "partial 16S ribosomal RNA". It matches the Rfam family "Bacterial small subunit ribosomal RNA", at positions 30 to 523 of the family's 1533-position model. The record is from RNAcentral.
AUUGAACGCUGGCGGCAGGCCUAACACAUGCAAGUCGAACGGUAGCACAGAGGAGCUUGCUCCUUGGGUGACGAGUGGCGGACGGGUGAGUAAUGUCUGGGAAACUGCCCGAUGGAGGGGGAUAACUACUGGAAACGGUAGCUAAUACCGCAUAACGUCUUCGGACCAAAGUGGGGGACCUUCGGGCCUCACACCAUCGGAUGUGCCCAGAUGGGAUUGGCUAGUAGGUGGGGUAAUGGCUCACCUAGGCGACGAUCCCUAGCUGGCCUGAGAGGAUGACCAGCCACACUGGAACUGAGACACGGUCCAGACUCCUACGGGAGGCAGCAGUGGGGAAUAUUGCACAAUGGGCGCAAGCCUGAUGCAGCCAUGCCGCGUGUAUGAAGAAGGCCUUCGGGUUGUAAAGUACUUUCAGCGGGGAGGAAGGCGUUAAGGUUAAUAACCUUGGCGAUUGACGUUACCCGCAGAAGAAGCACCGGCUAACUCCGUGCCAGCAGCCGCCGUAA